UAAUACGGAGGGUGCAAGCGUUAUCCGGAUUCACUGGGUUUAAAGGGUGCGUAGGUGGCUUUGUAAGUCAGUGGUGAAAGCCCGGAGCUUAACUCCGGAACUGCCAUUGAUACUGCUUAGCUUGAAUCAACUUGAGGUGGAUGGAAUAUUACAUGUAGCGGUGAAAUGCUUAGAUAUGUAAUAGAACACCGAUUGCGAAGGCAGUUCACUAAGGUUGUAUUGACACUGAGGCACGAAAGCGUGGGGAUCAAACAGGAUUAGAUACCCUGGUAGUCCACGCCUUAAACGAUGUAAACUCGACAUUAGCGAUAUACUGUUAGUGUCCAAGCGAAAGCGUUAAGUUUACCACCUGGGAAGUACGACCGCAAGGUUGAAACUCAAAUGAAUUGACGG
RNAcentral lists this ribosomal RNA (393 nucleotides) under uncultured bacterium. Its description in RNAcentral is "bacterial SSU rRNA". It matches the Rfam family "Bacterial small subunit ribosomal RNA", at positions 521 to 916 of the family's 1533-position model. The record is from RNAcentral.